Molecule: ribosomal RNA, 442 nt
Filed under: uncultured bacterium
Lineage: Bacteria
Description: partial 16S ribosomal RNA
Rfam family: Bacterial small subunit ribosomal RNA
Source: RNAcentral
CCUACGGGAGGCAGUAGUGGGGAAUAUUGGGCAAUGGGCGCAAGCCUGACCCAGCAAUGCCGCGUGAAGGAAGACGGCUUUCGGGUUGUAAAAUUCUUUGACAGGGGAAGAGCAGAAGACGGUACCCUGAAAACAAGCCACGGCUAACUACGUGCCAGCAGCCGCGGGAAUACGAAGGUGGCAAGCGUUGUCCGGAUUUACUGGGUGUAAAGGGCGUGUAGCCGGGAAGGCAAGUCGGAUGUGAAAUCUGGAGGCUCAACCUCCAAAUUGCAUUUGAAACUGUUUUUCUUGAGUACUGGAGAGGCAGACGGAAUUCCUUGUGUAGCGGUGAAAUGCGUAGAUAUAAGGAGGAACACCAGUGGCGAAGGCGGUCUGCUGGACAGCAACUGACGGUGAGGCGCGAAAGCGUGGGGAGCAAACAGGAUUAGAUACCCCUGUAGUC